Molecule: ribosomal RNA, 503 nt
Filed under: uncultured bacterium
Lineage: Bacteria
Description: partial 16S ribosomal RNA
Rfam family: Bacterial small subunit ribosomal RNA
Source: RNAcentral
ACUCAAAGGAAUUGACGGGGGCCCGCACAAGCGGUGGAACAUGUGGUUUAAUUCGAUGCAACGCGAAGAACCUUACCUGGGCUUGACAUCUGGGGAACCUUGUAGAGAUACGAGGGUGCUUUUGAACCCCAAGACAGGUGGUGCACGGUUGUCGUCAGCUCGUGUCGUGAGAUGUUGGGUUAAGUCCCGCAACGAGCGCAACCCUCGUGGUCUGUUGAUACAGGUGGAAACAUGCUGAUCCCUCAGGCCAGACUGCCGGUGACAAACCGGAGGAAGGUGGGGAUGACGUCAAAUCAUCACGCCCCUUAUGUCCAGGGCUACACACGUGUUACAAUGGGUAAAGGACAAUGGGCAGCUUGGCCGCGAGGUCUGGCGAAUCCCUUAAACCUUCCCUCAGUUCGGAUCGGAGUCUGCAACUCGACUCCGUGAAGUCGGAAUCGCUAGUAAACGCAGAUCAGCACGCUGCGUUGAAUACGUUCCCGGGCCUUGUACACACCGCCCGU